This is a small nucleolar RNA of Astatotilapia calliptera (eastern happy), 132 nucleotides long. Ensembl annotates it as small nucleolar RNA SNORA17. Lineage: Eukaryota; Metazoa; Chordata; Actinopteri; Cichliformes; Cichlidae. The record is from Ensembl.
ACUGCCCCUUGAGGCGUUGCAGCCCAACUGUUAGUGUUGCAGCUGUGUCAUAAGGUGGCAGAGAGAGACUGGUGGUAGUUUACACUGAGACUCUAAAACACAUUGGAACUCAGAGUUAUUCCCACCGACAGU